AUUGAACGCUGGCGGCAGGCCUAACACAUGCAAGUCGAACGAGUGGCGGACGGGUGAGUAAUGUCUGGGAAACUGCCCGAUGGAGGGGGGUAACUACUGGAAACGGUAGCUAAUACCGCAUACCAUCGGAUGUGCCCAGAUGGGAUUAGCUAGUAGGUGGGGUAACGGCUCACCUAGGCGACGAUCCCUAGCUGGUCUGAAAGGAUGACCAGCCAAACGGGAACUGGGACACGGUCCAGACUCCUACGGAAGGCGGAAGUGGGGAAUAUUGCACAAUGGGCGCAAGCCGAAGGCAGCCAUGCCGGGGGUAUGAAGAAGGCCUUCGGGUGGUAAAGUACUUUCAGUGAGGAGGCGUUACUCGCAGAAGAAGCACCGGCUAACUCCGUGCCAGCCGCCGCGGUAAUC
This 405-nucleotide ribosomal RNA is filed under the name uncultured bacterium. RNAcentral describes it as "partial 16S ribosomal RNA". It matches the Rfam family "Bacterial small subunit ribosomal RNA", at positions 29 to 525 of the family's 1533-position model. The record is from RNAcentral.